Molecule: non-coding RNA, 148 nt
Filed under: Gorilla gorilla gorilla (western lowland gorilla)
Lineage: Eukaryota; Metazoa; Chordata; Mammalia; Primates; Hominidae
Source: Rfam by way of RNAcentral
GCCAGGCACAGUGGCGUGUGCCUGUAGUCCCAGCUACUCGGGAGGCUGAGACAGGAGAAUUGCUUGAACCCAGGAGGCAGAGGUUGCAGUGAGCCAAGAUCAUGCCACUGCACUCCAGCCUGGGCAACAGAGCAAGACUCCGCCUCAA